CUUGCUACUUUGCCGGCGAGCGGCGGACGGGUGAGUAAUGUCUGGGAAACUGCCCGAUGGAGGGGGAUAACUACUGGAAACGGUGCUAAUACCGCAUAACGUCUUCGGACCAAAGUGGGGGACCUUCGGGCCUCACACCAUCGGAUGUGCCCAGAUGGGAUUAGCUAGUAGGUGGGGUAACGGCUCACCUAGGCGACGAUCCCUAGCUGGUCUGAGAGGAUGACCAGCCACACUGGAACUGAGACACGGUCCAGACUCCUACGGGAGGCAGCAGUGGGGAAUAUUGCACAAUGGGCGCAAGCCUGAUGCAGCCAUGCCGCGUGUGUGAAGAAGGCCUUCGGGUUGUAAAGCACUUUCAGCGAGGAGGAAGGCAGUCGUGUUAAUAGCACGGUUGAUUGACGUUACUCGCAGAAGAAGCACCGGCUAACUCCGUGCCAGCAGCCGCGGUAAUACGGAGGGUGCAAGCGUUAAUCGGAAUUACUGGGCGUAAAGCGCACGCAGGCGGUUUGUUAAGUCAGAUGUG
This 523-nucleotide ribosomal RNA is filed under the name uncultured Serratia sp. RNAcentral describes it as "bacterial SSU rRNA". It matches the Rfam family "Bacterial small subunit ribosomal RNA", at positions 73 to 596 of the family's 1533-position model. Lineage: Bacteria; Pseudomonadati; Pseudomonadota; Gammaproteobacteria; Enterobacterales; Yersiniaceae. The record is from RNAcentral.